Molecule: ribosomal RNA, 46 nt
Filed under: Mytilus edulis (blue mussel)
Lineage: Eukaryota; Metazoa; Mollusca; Bivalvia; Mytilida; Mytilidae
Also listed under: 1 other name
Description: partial 5.8S ribosomal RNA
Source: RNAcentral
ACUCUAGGCGGUGGAUCACUCGGUUCGUGCGUCGAUGAAGAGCGCA